GGUAGGAUUCAUGACUGGGGUGAAGUCGUAACAAGGUAGCCGUAUCGGAAGGUGCGGCUGGAUCACCUCCUUUCCAG
This 77-nucleotide ribosomal RNA is filed under the name Burkholderia multivorans. RNAcentral describes it as "partial 16S ribosomal RNA". It matches the Rfam family "Bacterial small subunit ribosomal RNA", at positions 1461 to 1533 of the family's 1533-position model. Lineage: Bacteria; Pseudomonadati; Pseudomonadota; Betaproteobacteria; Burkholderiales; Burkholderiaceae. The record is from RNAcentral.